GGAAGUUUUAUCUUCGCGUAAAAAGUUAUUUCGUAAGUAUAAUAAUUAUCGUCAUUUAACUAAUUAACGUUAUUUUGGCAUAAUAAAGAUUUCGAGAGGAGAACGGAUCAAGUAAGCUCACCUACAAACAGAGAACCUAACGACCCGACACACUCAGGAUGAUGGAUCGUUCGAUCGGGAUUCAGAGUUACCACUUUUCGAUGUCCCAGGAGGGGGCAUGGAGGAUUGAGGGAAUCUGUUAUACCUACACAGGCCCUGGUACUUUUGAUUAG
Lupinus albus (white lupine) is the source of this 272-nucleotide non-coding RNA. NCBI's taxonomy places the organism in Eukaryota, Viridiplantae, Streptophyta, Magnoliopsida, Fabales, Fabaceae. The record is from the annotation of a GenBank genome assembly.